Molecule: long non-coding RNA, 1391 nt
Filed under: Anas platyrhynchos platyrhynchos (common mallard)
Lineage: Eukaryota; Metazoa; Chordata; Aves; Anseriformes; Anatidae
Description: lncRNA (ENSAPLG00000027741.1)
Source: RNAcentral
GAUAUUUAGGGGACACCCACGCCGCGACACAUUUAGGGGACACACGCCGUGACUUUUAGGGGACACCAAGAUAUUUAGGGGACGCCCCCUGCGAUGUUUAGGGGACACCAAGAUAUUUAGGGGACGCCCCCCGCGAUGUUUAGGGGACACCAAGAUAUUUAGGGGACACCCAUGCCGCGACGUUUUGGGGACACCCACCCUGCGACAUUUUGGGGAUGCACACCGCGAUGCGUUUAGGGGACACCAAGACAUUUAGGGGACCCACGCCGCGAUGUUUAGGGGACACCCACACCGCGAUGCGUUUAGGGGACACCAAGAUAUUUAGGGGACACCCCCCGCGACGUUUAGGGGACACCCACCACGACACAGAGGGGACACCACGACAUUUAGGGGACACGCGACGUGACAUUUAGGGGACACACACCACGAUGUUUAGGGGACACCACGACACUUAGGGGACACCCACCACGACACGGAGGGGGCACCACGACGUUUAGGGGACACGCGACGUGACAUUUAGGGGACACCAAGAUAUUUAGGGGACACCCACGCCGCGACACGUUUAGGGGACACCCACGCCGCGACACGUUUAGGGGAUACCAAAAUAUUUAGGGGACACCCCCCAUGACAUUUAGGGGACACACACCACGACGUUUAGGGGACACACACCACGACGUUUAGGGGACACCAAGAUAUUUAGGGGACACCAUGACAUUUAGGGGACACCCACGCCGCGACACAUUUAGGGGACACGCGCCGUGACUUUUAGGGGACAGCAAGAUAUUUAGGGGACACCCAUGCUGCGACACGUUUAGGGGACACCCAUGCCGUGACGUUUAGGGGACACCAAGAUAUUUAGGGGACACACACCACGACGUUUGGGGGACACCAAGAUAUUUAGGGGACACAUGCCGCGACAUUUAGGGGACACCACGACACAGAGGGGACACACACCACGACAUUUAGGGGACACCAAGAUAUUUAGGGGACACGCACCGCGACGUUUAGGGGACACCAAGAUAUUUAGGGGGGACACGCGCCGCGACGUUUAGGGGACACCACGCCGCGUUUCGGGGCCACAUUUAGGGACGAGCCAGGGCCGCGCUGACCCCAAAAACCCCCUGCAGGGUAUCACGGAGGCGGAGAGGGAGGCGUUCGAGCUGCUGCCCGAUGACGAGAGGCAGUGCGACAAGUGCAAGACGACGUGCUUCCUCUCCGCCCUGGCCUGCUACGACUGCCCCCAGUGCCUCGUCUGCCUCUACCACAUGGACGACCUCUGCAAGUGCCCCCGCAGCAAGCAGUACCUCAGGUGGGGGCUCCCCAAAAAUUUGGCGGGGGGGUUGGGGGUGAUUUGGGUCUUGGAGUUCCCAAAACAGGGAUGUGGGAAGUGU